This 553-nucleotide ribosomal RNA is filed under the name uncultured Methanosaeta sp. RNAcentral describes it as "bacterial SSU rRNA". It matches the Rfam family "Archaeal small subunit ribosomal RNA", at positions 83 to 640 of the family's 1478-position model. Lineage: Archaea; Methanobacteriati; Methanobacteriota; Methanomicrobia; Methanotrichales; Methanotrichaceae. The record is from RNAcentral.
CGGCUCAGUAACACGUGGAUAACCUACCCUUGAGACGGGGAUAAACCCGGGAAACUGGGUAUAAUACCCGAUAGAUCUCGACUGCUGGAAUGCAUCGAGCUUGAAAGCUCCGGCGCUCAAGGAUGGGUCUGCGGCCUAUCAGGUAGUAGUGGGUGUAGCGUACCUACUAGCCUACGACGGGUACGGGUUGUGAGAGCAAGAGCCCGGAGAUGGAUUCUGAGACACGAAUCCAGGCCCUACGGGGUGCAGCAGGCGCGAAAACUUUACAAUGCUGGAAACAGCGAUAAGGGGACCUCGAGUGCCAGGUUACAAAUCUGGCUGUCGUGAUGCCUAAAAAGCAUUGCAUAGCAAGGGCCGGGUAAGACCGGUGCCAGCCGCCGCGGUAACACCGGCGGCUCGAGUGGUAACCGUUAUUAUUGGGUCUAAAGGGUCUGUAGCCGGCCGGAUAAGUCUCUUGGGAAAUCUGGCAGCUUAACUGUCAGGCUUUCAGGAGAUACUGUCUGGCUCGAGGCCGGGAGAGGUGAGAGGUACUUCAGGGGUAGGGGUGAAAUCU